GACGAACGCUGGCGGCGUGCCUAAUACAUGCAAGUUGAGCGAUGAAGAUUGGUGCUUGCACCAAUUUGAAGAGCAGCGAACGGGUGAGUAACGCGUGGGGAAUCUGCCUUUGAGCGGGGGACAACAUUUGGAAACGAAUGCUAAUACCGCAUAACAACUUUAAACAUAAGUUUUAAGUUUGAAAGAUGCAAUUGCAUCACUCAAAGAUGAUCCCGCGUUGUAUUAGCUAGUUGGUGAGGUAAAGGCUCACCAAGGCGAUGAUACAUAGCCGACCUGAGAGGGUGAUCGGCCACAUUGGGACUGGGACACGGCCCAAACUACUACGGGAGGCAGCAGUAGGGAAUCUUCGGCAAUGGAAGAAAGUCUGACCGAGCAACGCCGCGUGAGUGAAGAAGGUUUUCGGAUCGUAAAACUCUGUUGGUAGAGAAGAACGUUGGUGAGAGUGGAAAGCUCAUCAAGUGACGGUAACUACCCAGAAAGGUACGGCUAACUACGUG
RNAcentral lists this ribosomal RNA (497 nucleotides) under uncultured bacterium. RNAcentral describes it as "partial 16S ribosomal RNA". It matches the Rfam family "Bacterial small subunit ribosomal RNA", at positions 28 to 507 of the family's 1533-position model. The record is from RNAcentral.